RNAcentral lists this long non-coding RNA (230 nucleotides) under Nicotiana benthamiana. RNAcentral's name for it is "long non-coding RNA (NBEN_LNC033509)". Lineage: Eukaryota; Viridiplantae; Streptophyta; Magnoliopsida; Solanales; Solanaceae. The record is from RNAcentral.
CUGAUUCUGUAGGUUCAACCUUAAUUUCCUUUUGUUGCUUCUUCUGGGGCCUUGAGACCGCAACUUCCUUCUUUUUCCUCUUCUUGUUGUCUUUAGAAGAGGAUGCCAAAUGAGCACUUUCUGUCUUAUCUUGCUUUAUUCUCUCUUCCUCUUGCACACAAUGUGAAAUGAACUCAUUAAGAGUCCAUUUCUCCUUUAGGCAGUUGUAACUGACCUUAAACUGAUUAAAU